This 191-nucleotide ribosomal RNA is filed under the name uncultured bacterium. RNAcentral describes it as "partial 16S ribosomal RNA". It matches the Rfam family "Bacterial small subunit ribosomal RNA", at positions 334 to 522 of the family's 1533-position model. The record is from RNAcentral.
UACUCCUACGGGAGGCAGCAGUGAGGAAUAUUGGUCAAUGGACGAGAGUCUGAACCAGCCAAGUAGCGUGCAGGAUGACGGCCCUCCGGGUUGUAAACUGCUUUUAGUUGGGAAUAAAAAGAGGGACGUGUCCCUAAUUGUAUGUACCAUCAGAAAAAGGACCGGCUAAUUCCGUGCCAGCAGCCGCGGUA